AGUGAACGCUGGCGGUAGGCCUAACACAUGCAAGUCGAACGGCAGCACAGUAAGCGCUUGCUCUUACGGUUGGCGAGUGGCGGACGAGUGAGGAAUACAUCGCAAUCUACUUUUUCUUGGGUGAUAACGUAGGGAAACUUACGCUAAUACCGCAUACGACCUACGGGUGAAAGCAGGGGAUCUUCGGACCUUGCGCGAUUGAUUGAGCUGAUUUCGGAUUAGCUAGUUGGCGGGGUAAAGGCACACCAAGGCGACGAUCCGUAGCUGGUCUGAGAGGAUGAUCAGCCACACUGGAACUGGGACACGGUCCAGACUCCUACGGGAGGCAGCAGUGGGGAAUAUUGCACAAUGGGCGAAAGCCUGAUCCAGCCAUACCGCGUGGGUGAAGAAGGCCUUCGGGUUGUAAAGCCCUUUUGUUGGGAAAGAAAAGCAGCAGGUUAAUACCCCGCUGUUCUGACGGUACCCAAAGAAUAAGCACCGGCUAACUUCGUG
RNAcentral lists this ribosomal RNA (492 nucleotides) under uncultured bacterium. Its description in RNAcentral is "partial 16S ribosomal RNA". It matches the Rfam family "Bacterial small subunit ribosomal RNA", at positions 29 to 507 of the family's 1533-position model. The record is from RNAcentral.